UAACUGAAGAGUUUGAUCAUGGCUCAGAUUGAACGCUGGCGGCAGGCUUAACACAUGCAAGUCGAGCGGGGGAAGGUAGCUUGCUACCGGACCUAGCGGCGGACGGGUGAGUAAUGCUUAGGAAUCUGCCUAUUAGUGGGGGACAACAUCUCGAAAGGGAUGCUAAUACCGCAUACGUCCUACGGGAGAAAGCAGGGGAUCUUCGGACCUUGCGCUAAUAGAUGAGCCUAAGUCGGAUUAGCUAGUUGGUGGGGUAAAGGCCUACCAAGGCGACGAUCUGUAGCGGGUCUGAGAGGAUGAUCCGCCACACUGGGACU
This 317-nucleotide ribosomal RNA is filed under the name Acinetobacter baumannii. RNAcentral describes it as "bacterial SSU rRNA". It matches the Rfam family "Bacterial small subunit ribosomal RNA", at positions 1 to 320 of the family's 1533-position model. The record is from RNAcentral. Lineage: Bacteria; Pseudomonadati; Pseudomonadota; Gammaproteobacteria; Moraxellales; Moraxellaceae.